Molecule: long non-coding RNA, 369 nt
Filed under: Carica papaya (papaya)
Lineage: Eukaryota; Viridiplantae; Streptophyta; Magnoliopsida; Brassicales; Caricaceae
Description: long non-coding RNA (CPAP_LNC005913)
Source: RNAcentral
UGCCGUCCGUGCAGUAGGCCUGAGCGAUAGGCUUGCGCGCACCCUGCACAUUGUAGGCCCUAUGUGCGGCCGACUUGGGGAGGCGCACUGUUGCCUCGGGCAGUGUGCCGCCACCCCUUAGGUGCUGUGCACCGCCUUGGGCAAUGUGCUGCUGCCGCCUUGGGUGGUGAACCACCACCAGUUGGGGGUUUCUUCCUCUAUUUUUUUGUGUCGCUGUCAUGUUGCGUCACAUCACUCUUUUUCUACUAAACUUUCUCUUUCCUCACCAGAUUUCACCACUUGGCACAAAUCUAACAGUCCCCAUUUUUUAUAAAUAGGGACCCCUUUCUUCCAUUUUUUCUCAUUUCUUCCAUUUCAUUCUUCCAUUCU